GAUGUUGGCCUGGUGGCUUGUGCCUUUCACGAUCCAUUGGAGAUGUGGAUGUAGGCGAAUUCAUUGUUCCUGUUCCUUACGUGAAGCAAGUUAAGUUAUCUACAGGGCGUGGUAGGCUUAUUGUCUCGAGUGAUGGUGUUUGGGAUGCUUUAUCUGCCGAAAUGGCUGUUGAUUGUUGUCGAGGGAUGCCUGCAGAAGCCGCUGCUGCACAAAUUGUCAAAGAAGCUGUACACAUGAAGGGACUUAGAGAUGAUACA
RNAcentral lists this unclassified non-coding RNA (257 nucleotides) under Hevea brasiliensis (rubber tree). Lineage: Eukaryota; Viridiplantae; Streptophyta; Magnoliopsida; Malpighiales; Euphorbiaceae. The record is from RNAcentral.